This 445-nucleotide ribosomal RNA is filed under the name uncultured bacterium. Its description in RNAcentral is "bacterial SSU rRNA". It matches the Rfam family "Bacterial small subunit ribosomal RNA", at positions 331 to 792 of the family's 1533-position model. The record is from RNAcentral.
CCAGACUCCUACGGGAGGCAGCAGUGGGGAAUAUUGCACAAUGGGGGAAACCCUGAUGCAGCAACGCCGCGUGGGUGAAGGAGCGUUUCGGCGCGUAAAGCCCUGUCAGCGGGGAAGAAGAAAGACGGUACCUGACUAAGAAGCCCCGGCUAACUACGUGCCAGCAGCCGCGGUAAUACGUAGGGGGCAAGCGUUAUCCGGAAUUACUGGGUGUAAAGGGAGCGUAGACGGUUAAGUAAGUCUGGAGUGAAAGGCCGGGGCCCAACCCCGGGACUGCUCUGGAAACUAUUUAACUUGAGUGCAGGAGAGGUAAGCGGAAUUCCUAGUGUAGCGGUGAAAUGCGUAGAUAUUAGGAGGAACACCAGUGGCGAAGGCGGCUUACUGGACGACUACUGACGCUGAGGCUCGAAAGCGUGGGGAGCAAACAGGAUUAGAUACCCCAGUA